Molecule: long non-coding RNA, 711 nt
Filed under: Mus caroli (Ryukyu mouse)
Lineage: Eukaryota; Metazoa; Chordata; Mammalia; Rodentia; Muridae
Description: predicted gene 16552 (MGP_CAROLIEiJ_G0003759.1)
Source: RNAcentral
GUGAAAAGGAAGUCGUUCUGGUCCACAGCAGGGCUAACAGUUCACAAUAUUUGUGUGCCCACCCUCCUUUUCUGCUGCACUCGAGAACCUGGAAAGAGAAGCAAACCUUCAUCCAUCUUUUUAAAGAAUCCUGGUCUAACUGAUACAAAGGUACAAAAUGAAUCCAUGCUUGGUGGGGACAUACAACUGUAAUCUAAGAGGUAGUGAAACAGCCGGGCGUGGUGGCACACGCCUUUAAUCCCAGCACUUGGGAGGCAGAGAAGUUCUUAAAAAGUGAGAGGGUUGGAAAGAUGGCUUAAAGAGAAAGGCAUUUGCCCCCGGUCUGGCAUCUGGCAGGUAACCUGGAUUCCAUCUCGAUGGCCCACGACCAGCUCCUCCAAGUUGUCCUGGAAUCUUCAAUCACACAACUGUGAAAUUUACCAACACACACACACACACACACACACACACACACACAUAUUCUCUCUCUCUCUCUCUCUCUCUCUCUCUCAAAAUGUAAAUUAUUUUGUAUUUUAUGUAUGCUGGUGCCUUGCCUGCAUGUGUAAGGGAGUCAGAUCCCCUGGAACAGGAGUUACAGACAGUUUCGAACUGUCUUGUAGGUACUUGGAGCUUAACUCCAGUCCACUGGAAGAGUGGCCAGUGCCCUUAACCACUAAACCAUUUCUCCAGGCCCUGCAAAUGUAAUUUUAAAGAAAAAAAAAUUGUUUAAAG